Molecule: ribosomal RNA, 207 nt
Filed under: Salmonella enterica subsp. enterica serovar Typhimurium
Lineage: Bacteria; Pseudomonadati; Pseudomonadota; Gammaproteobacteria; Enterobacterales; Enterobacteriaceae
Description: partial 16S ribosomal RNA
Source: RNAcentral
AAGAAGGAUCCUUUGCGGGUAAAGUCAAUUGCUGCGGUUAUUAAACCACAACACCUUCCUCCCCGCUGAAAGUCUCCUAAAACCAAAAAGGCCUUCUUCAUACACGCGGCAUGGCUGCAUCAGGCUUGCGCCCAUUGUGCAAUAUUCCCACUGCUGCCUCCCGUAGGGGGCGGGGGCGGCGGGCCGGGCGGGGCGCGGAGGCGAUUU